GUGAGAUACUUUUUUUUUUUUUUUUGCCACUCGAGUUACAUCUUUGUUGAUUCUCAUUGAGGUGUUUACUGUUUCAACAUUUGUGAGCAGGUCAGCCCUUCUCAGUUUGAAGCACAUGCUGGUUAGGCUUCUCAUCGCAAGCCGUGAGUGUUCCUUUGAUGUUUUUGGGAGGUUUAGUGAACAUGUGGUUUCUGUGACCACUUAUACAUCAUUAGAUAACUUUUUUCCCCUAAUGCAGUUACCUACACAUCUAUACAUCAAAUGGAGUGUCUCCCCAUGAGUUGUCUAUGAAAUUGUAACAACUGCGGAAGUUAUCCGCUGAGGAAAGCGAUGAUCUUUGCUCAAUCUGUGCAAAUGGAUGAGAUCUUUUAUGUUGUGAUAAUUUCCCAAGGGCUUUUCACAUAGUGUGAAAAGGAGUAUCACAUUGGCUGUUUAAAGGAGCAUAAAAUGGAUGAUCUAAAGACAAGAAAUGGAAUAGGGUUAGUUGCUUCAGCUAUUGCCGCGGGUUUAGGUGCCUCAACACAUACAUUGGGCACCCUCGUCCCUGUGUGUAGACGUCCCCGAACGCCCCGGGAGGGAUGAGGUCCC
Molecule: non-coding RNA, 588 nt
Organism: Camellia sinensis
Lineage: Eukaryota; Viridiplantae; Streptophyta; Magnoliopsida; Ericales; Theaceae
Source: RefSeq, a predicted model, not a curated record